AUGAACGCUGGCGGCGUGCUUAACCCAUGCCAGUCGCACGAAGCACUUUAACCUGAUUCUUCGGAUGAAGGUUUUUGUGACUGAGUGGCGGACGGGUGAGUAACGCGUGGGUAACCUGCCUCAUACAGGGGGAUAACAGUUAGAAAUGACUGCUAAUACCGCAUAAGACCACAGAGCCGCAUGGCUCGGUGGGAAAAACUCCGGUGGUAUGAGAUGGACCCGCGUCUGAUUAGGUAGUUGGUGGGGUAACGGCCUACCAAGCCAACGAUCAGUAGCCGACCUGAGAGGGUGACCGGCCACAUUGGGACUGAGACACGGCCCAAACUCCUACGGGAGGCAGCAGUGGGGAAUAUUGCACAAUGGGGGAAACCCUGAUGCAGCGACGCCGCGUGAGCGAAGAAGUAUUUCGGUAUGUAAAGCUCUAUCAGCAGGGAAGAAAAUGACGGUACCUGACUAAGAAGCACCGGCUAAAUACGUG
RNAcentral lists this ribosomal RNA (478 nucleotides) under uncultured bacterium. RNAcentral's name for it is "partial 16S ribosomal RNA". It matches the Rfam family "Bacterial small subunit ribosomal RNA", at positions 29 to 507 of the family's 1533-position model. The record is from RNAcentral.